AUGGCCGACGCGGGUCACAGUGAAGUAUAUGUUCUUACGAGCUUAUUAUCUGAUACGGGUUCUAUUUGGACCGAAGAUAUUAAACUUAUUUUUGCAAGUUGGCGGAGUGCUUGAAGCCUGCUUCACCUCCGACAGGGGUCCGCCGGGUAUUGCACUAUCUUCGGGAUAUUUGGUCUACGGACA
This is a small nuclear RNA of Dermacentor silvarum, 183 nucleotides long. RefSeq annotates it as U2 spliceosomal RNA. The record is from RefSeq and is a predicted model, not a curated record. The transcript has a single exon. Lineage: Eukaryota; Metazoa; Arthropoda; Arachnida; Ixodida; Ixodidae.